AUCUUCUUGUGUCCUGAGGAAUGUACCUAGAAGAGCUGCACCUUCAUUAGUCAUUCCACCUUGGUCCUGUCUAGAAUCUACUUUGUAAUGUCAAACUGAAGUAUCAGAAAAGGAUUUGGAGCAUCAAAGGAAACGUUUUUGACUAAGAAACAAGGGAUUAUGACUGGAACUAUUCUGCAGCAGUAAGUAACACCAAAUCAGUACUCUGAUCAUAAACUAAGCCCAUCACUAUUGUUCAAUUCUGCCACAGCCAUUUAU
This 258-nucleotide long non-coding RNA is filed under the name Anas platyrhynchos (mallard). RNAcentral describes it as "lncRNA (ENSAPLG00020004716.1)". Lineage: Eukaryota; Metazoa; Chordata; Aves; Anseriformes; Anatidae. The record is from RNAcentral.